UCAGGUGUGGCAUGUGAUCACAGGCAACUCAGGAUCAGCUCUCCAGCCCCGGAACUUCUGCUGGAACUGCUGUGAGUUGAAAGCUUUCUUCCCACUGAGGGGCAAAGCUUCUAGGUAUCUGAAGAUGUUGAAGACCAUUUCUUGGAACAACAGAGGUAAAUGCCCAGAGGAUGAGAACAUGUAGCCAUUAGAAGAACCUGAAAGUUCGGUGUCACUGAAAGAUGAAGUUCAAUAGAAGGAACAAACUGCAAAACACAAGCUGGAGAGGUUUAGAGAGAUUGUGGAACGGAAUGACUCGCCGGAGCUGCAGAUUGAAGGUGUAUUUUCAUCUGACUUUGAUCUCAAUGGCAGGAACACCUUCAUGGCCUCUUUAUGGCCGGUAUGUUUUCUUCUCAUGGACAGUGAGAAACAUGUAAUAAAUUGUGUUUCCUUUUGCUAGGAAA
Long non-coding RNA from Mandrillus leucophaeus (drill), 443 nucleotides. RefSeq lists it as uncharacterized. Lineage: Eukaryota; Metazoa; Chordata; Mammalia; Primates; Cercopithecidae. The transcript has 3 exons. The record is from RefSeq and is a predicted model, not a curated record.